Molecule: long non-coding RNA, 1355 nt
Organism: Oxyura jamaicensis (ruddy duck)
Lineage: Eukaryota; Metazoa; Chordata; Aves; Anseriformes; Anatidae
Exons: 2
Source: RefSeq, a predicted model, not a curated record
ACAUUUUUUUACUGUUUGUUUUAAUUGUUUGGUUGAAUCAUUUUGUGUUGCUGAAAUUAUGAUUGAUAGAAGAUGCUUUUUGCUUAACUAAAGUAGUCUCAUGCAAAUUAAUUUAGUUUACAUUUAUUUAUUACACAUAUUAUAUGGAGAUCUUUUCUCCCACUGCACUGAUUCAGCUCUAUCCAGAAUCUUGUGUAUGUUCAAGGAGAAUGUUAGAUAAGGACUAAUGCCAAAAGACUGAAAAAGAAAAGCUGAGAAACAAAUUUUCAACUUCUGAUCUGCUGUGGGGAUAUGCAGCAAUAUAACUAGUGUAACCAGCUAGAACAACCACAAGCAUUCUACAAGGAAUACUCUUGGUAACCACUUUGUUCUCCAGUCACCUGGUAUUUGAAAAAUGAAAAAUAUUCUGCAAAAGUUUUGAAAACUAUUAGCCUUCUGAUACUUUGUCUUGAUCUGCCUGGAUUAAUUAUUUGCAGCUGUUUUCAUAGGUCUAUGAAAUGCUAGUUCAUUGAUUUAGUGAUUUAUAUAUUUGACAUAAAAAUUUACUCAUCAUGACAACAGUGAACCCCCUCAGUUUCUUCAAUUACUGAAAAAACAAGUAGAGAAAAAAAAGAAAAAAAAAGUUGGGGGGGGUCACUGACAUUUGUGGUAGUUCUAGUCAGCCAUAUUAACCUAAAGGCCGUUACCACCUGUAACAGUGCCUUUGUUCAGCUUUGGGUUUGUAUAUCAUAAAGUUUGGGUAUCUUUUAGUUGAAAAAAUAAUUUAAGAAAAAUAUUGGGAUUUUAGAGAGGAAAGAGAAAUUAGGAUAUGAAACCUUUCAAUAUGUGAUGGACAGUGUCAGUGCUGAGGACUUUUCACUUCAGCACAAGAGAACACACCUCUCCACUUUCUAAAUGACUUUUACUCUGUAAAAAUAAGUUUACUGUAGUAUCACUUGGUUUUGUUUAACAAUUAUGAAACUGCUUUAAGUGAUGACAAAGUGAGUCAGUGUCGUUGUUCUUCUAUUUGGCAUUUAAUGUUCAUUAGUACAAUGCGAAUUCUUUCAUCUGUACGCUAAUAGGAGCAUGUAUCCUAUCAAUCCUAUCAAAUUGUGGGAAGGUAUAUAUGGAUCUCCCAGAGAGUUCUGAAGGUUUUCUGUGUUGGCACGUGGAUAGCAGCAUGAAAAAAUGAAAUUUAUGUCAUAUUUGUCACUGCCUCUGACCUGAAUUUUUUCUUAAAAUGUAAUAAAUGAAAGUUGUGUUUCCUCAAACUGAAAAUGUACCUAUGCAUAUACAGCCUCUGGCACCCAAAAGUUUAGCAUUUUUCGCAGUUUUAUUUAUAGUUUAUGUAUAAUUACUUACCUGUGGAUAUAUGU